Molecule: long non-coding RNA, 801 nt
Filed under: Olea europaea subsp. europaea
Lineage: Eukaryota; Viridiplantae; Streptophyta; Magnoliopsida; Lamiales; Oleaceae
Source: RNAcentral
ACUAACCUUCCUUGCAGUAGAUGACCAAGUCCAAAAGCCCCAAGCAUAGUAAGCGAAAUCAUUGGAAGACCAGAUCGUACAAACGGUGCUUUCCUGCCCCACCUACUGAACUUUGAAGCUGAGUUUUCAAACCUCGCAACAGAUUGUGCUGGUGCAUUAUCCAAUUUCUUUUGUUGAUCAGUCGUCAUAUAAACACUUUUCAUCUCUAAAAAACAAUAAGAACUCCCGCAUCAUAAUUUCCAAAGCAUCGUUACCAACAAUAAACUCAUUGUUGUCUGAUUACCUCGAAUUUCAGGCGUAAAUAAAAGUGAAGUUAUUUGAUGAUGCCACGCUAUAUAGGUUCCAACAUAUUCAGUUCUAGUGUUUCGACGAAGCAUUUACGAAAUAAACCCACCAGAGUAAAUGAUCAAGUCACGAACUUUGAUAAAAAUAAAUAAAAACCGAUAGUAAAAUAACACUAGCAGUGGACAAGAAACAUGGCGCUAAUUAAUCCAAAAUUAGAACCCUUAUUGGUAAACCGCAAAAAUUUCACACAAUUAAAUUUUCUAAAUUAAUGAGGGAAAAAUAAACCUACCAUUUGUUGUGAUUUCGCCUUAUUAAAUUAAAUAAUAAAUAUCAAACCCAAACAGAUGGAUUCCAACCAAGAGGUCGAGAAUUAUUGUGCAAAACAAAGAUUAGAGACGCCAUAAUACCUUCAGUAUACUGUCACUUGAAUCGUCGGGAUUCGGAUGAGAGAAAAGAGGGGCAGUGGUAGAGCGGUGAAGUUGUCCUUCCCAAAUUUUACAAAAUUUAGGUCCUUUG